AUUGAACGCUGGCGGAAUGCUUUACACAUGCAAGUCGAACGGCAGCACGGGGCAACCUGGUGGCGAGUGGCGAACGGGUGAGUAAUAUAUCGGAACGUGCCCAAUCGUGGGGGAUAACGUAGCGAAGUUACGCUAAUACCGCAUACGAUCUACGGAUGAAAGCGGGGGAUCGCAAGACCUCGCGCGAAUGGAGCGGCCGAUAUCAGAUUAGGUAGUUGGUGGGGUAAAGGCUCACCAAGCCAACGAUCUGUAGCUGGUCUGAGAGGACGACCAGCCACACUGGAACUGAGACACGGUCCAGACUCCUACGGGAGGCAGCAGUGGGGAAAUUUGGACAAUGGGCGCAAGCCUGAUCCAGCCAUUCCGCGUGCAGGAUGAAGGCCUUCGGUUGUAAACUGCUUUUGUACGGUAACGAAACGGUACUGCCCUAAUACGGCAGGCGUAAUGACGGUACCGUAAGAAUAAGACACCGGCUAACUACGUGCCAGCAGCCGCGGUAA
This 500-nucleotide ribosomal RNA is filed under the name uncultured bacterium. RNAcentral's name for it is "bacterial SSU rRNA". It matches the Rfam family "Bacterial small subunit ribosomal RNA", at positions 30 to 523 of the family's 1533-position model. The record is from RNAcentral.